This is a long non-coding RNA of Coregonus clupeaformis (lake whitefish), 1067 nucleotides long. RefSeq lists it as uncharacterized. The transcript has 2 exons. The record is from RefSeq and is a predicted model, not a curated record. NCBI's taxonomy places the organism in Eukaryota, Metazoa, Chordata, Actinopteri, Salmoniformes, Salmonidae.
UGUUACAGUAAAAGAAGAGGAAGACGUGUUCAGAGUGAAAGAGGAGGAGGAUGUUACAGUGAAAGAAGAGGAGGACGCAGUUUUUGGAUUGGGAGAGAUUACUGUCACAUUGGAGGAAGAAGAGACAGGAGAUCUGAUUAACAACAGAGAGAGACCAGUCUCUCACACAGACAGCGGGAAGAGUCAUGCAGGGAAACCAGACCCAGCGAUGUCUAAACCAGCGAGACAACACCACUGCUCCCAGUGUAAUAAGAGUUUUAAGUGGUUAUGGAAGCUGAAAGAGCAUGGGAGAACACACACAGGAGAAAAGCCCUUCCAAUGCUCCCAGUGUGGAAAAAGUUAUACCCAGUUAGUUAGCCUGAAAAGGCAUAAAGGAAUGCACUUAGGAGAAAAGCCUUACCACUGCUCUCAGUGUGGAAAGACUUUUACCCAGUUAGGGAACCUGAACAAACAUAAGAGAAUACACUCUGGAGAGAAGCCUUACCCUUGUUCCCAUUGUGGAAAGAACUUUAGGUUGUCAGAUAAUCUGAAGGAGCAUGAGAGGACACACACAGGAGAGAAACCUUACCAUUGCUCCCUGUGUGGAAAGGAUUUUACCAAGUUAGGGAACCUAAAAGAACACGAGAGGAAACACACAGGAGAAAAGCCUUACCACUGCUCCCAGUGUGGAAAGAGAUUUUCAAGAUCACCGGACCUUAAAAAGCACGAGAGGACACACACAGGAGAAAAGCCUUACCACUGCUCCCAGUGUGGAAAGAGUUUUACUGAUUUAGAUAGCCUGACCAUACAUAAGAUAAUACACUCUAAAGAGAAGCCUUACCAUUGUUCCCAGUGUGGAAAAAGUUUUACCAAGCUUGGGAACUUGAAAAGGCAUGAGAACAUACACACACAGGGGAGGAUAAGCUCACAGUUUGGAAAGAGUUUUAGUCAGGGAACCUAAUUGUGCAAAGACAUUUUCCCAGACAGAGGACCUGAAUUCACAUGACAGAAUAGACAGGCUGUGUUCUGACUGAUGUUUGACUGUUAUUUUAUGCCACAUUAAAUCAUAUUGUUUAUAUGAAAUCUUA